GACGAGCGCUGGCGGCGUGCCUAAUACAUGCAAGUCGAACGCUUCUUUCCUCCCGAGUGCUUGCACUCAAUUGGAAAGAGGAGUGGCGGACGGGUGAGUAACACGUGGGUAACCUACCCAUCAGAGGGGGAUAACACUUGGAAACAGGUGCUAAUACCGCAUAACAGUUUAUGCCGCAUGGCAUAAGAGUGAAAGGCGCUUUCGGGUGUCGCUGAUGGAUGGACCCGCGGUGCAUUAGCUAGUUGGUGAGGUAACGGCUCACCAAGGCCACGAUGCAUAGCCGACCUGAGAGGGUGAUCGGCCACACUGGGACUGAGACACGGCCCAGACUCCUACGGGAGGCAGCAGUAGGGAAUCUUCGGCAAUGGACGAAAGUCUGACCGAGCAACGCCGCGUGAGUGAAGAAGGUUUUCGGAUCGUAAAACUCUGUUGUUAGAGAAGAACAAGGACGUUAGUAACUGAACGUCCCCUGACGGUAUCUAACCAGAAAGCCACGGCUAACUACGUGCCAGCAGCCGCGGUAAUACGUAGGUGGCAAGCGUUGUCCGGAUUUAUUGGGCGUAAAGCGAGCGCAGGCGGUUUCUUAAGUCUGAUGUGAAAGCCCCCGGCUCAACCGGGGAGGGUCAUUGGAAACUGGGAGACUUGAGUGCAGAAGAGGAGAGUGGAAUUCCAUGUGUAGCGGUGAAAUGCGUAGAUAUAUGGAGGAACACCAGUGGCGAAGGUGGCUCUCUGGUCUGUAACUGACGCUGAGGCUCGAAAGCGUGGGGAGCAAACGGG
RNAcentral lists this ribosomal RNA (777 nucleotides) under uncultured Lactobacillales bacterium. RNAcentral's name for it is "bacterial SSU rRNA". It matches the Rfam family "Bacterial small subunit ribosomal RNA", at positions 28 to 776 of the family's 1533-position model. Lineage: Bacteria; Bacillati; Bacillota; Bacilli; Lactobacillales. The record is from RNAcentral.